GUGGAAUAUUUUUUUCAUUUACCCCAAUAUUUAUUUCAUUUUUUUUUUAGUUCUGCACCCUUAUUCUUCCGGUUUUCCCUUAAUUUGGACAUUAAACUUAGUUUACAUCUUCUUUUACCCAGUUGUCCUAUUCCGCCCAGUGCAGAGGGAAGGAGCAGGGAUUGCUGCAGAUGUAGACGGCAUGCAGGAAGUGCAGGUUAGAAAUGUAGGAAGUACUCUAUAUGUGCACUAUUGACAAGGGUGGUGGUUACUUAACCCUAUAUGUGCAAGAAGUAGAGCAACACAAUGCAUUGUGAACCCCCUGCAAUUACACAUUUACCUUUACAACCUAUGAAGCUAUGAUAGGACAGUAUUCAAUAAGGAUAUCUAAGGACAUGAUUACAGAGACAGAAACUCUGGAUCCAGAAAAAGAGUGAAAACUAUUGGUGUUUGGCCGCAUUUUUAUUACCUUUUGACCAGAUUAUUUCCUGCUCAUCUUUUCAAGGCAACGUAUUAAAAUACACAGCAUAUAUCAAUGGCUGUACCCGCGGGACCCUGUUCCAUGGCAGUGUCCUUCCUGCAAGGACCUUGUAAGUGAAGCGUCCCAUCUUGCUGGACCCUCCAUCCCAUGGGGCUGUUUGGAGGUGCCUGCUAGGAGUCGGGAGGGCAGAGGAGAGGGUGGAUGAUGCUUAUACCAUCACUGGGCCUGUUCUGUCUCUCUUCUCCUGCAUUAGAGAUUGGCUCUGAGAGAGGGGAAGGCGGUUGCAGCAUAAUAUUACCUUGUGAUUCUAUGACCCUCCUCUAUGCAUCCCUAACUCUCAAAAGCUGAUUCAGCUUUCAGCUCGUGCUCUGGUGACUCCGCUGCUGCAACCGACUCUUCUAUCAGGGUAUGUCUCUCUCCCCUCACACACCCUCCUUUUUCUAUGCUGUUCUCUUUUAGUUAGCUUGCUUUAAAUAUCAUAGAAUAUUACCUGCUCCAUUCAAACUUGCCUGAUGACUUUGAAUGAGCAUCUUUUAGAGGUUGGAUGUUUGAGCGCUGCAUGCAAAGGCUUAUUUGGGUGAUUGUGCAGAAAGAUGCUUCUCAAUGCAGAAUUCUGCCGAGCCAGCAAUUGAAGUGGAUGCAUAAAGGCUGAAAUCUUACAAGUUUGGCGUGUAAUCAUUUGGUGUGGUUAUCAUGUUCUGUGCUAGUGGAGGCCUGUGUUGUGAGAUGCUCCAGGGAAG
Molecule: long non-coding RNA, 1200 nt
Filed under: Pelobates cultripes (western spadefoot toad)
Lineage: Eukaryota; Metazoa; Chordata; Amphibia; Anura; Pelobatidae
Source: RNAcentral